GCCAAACACUCCACGAUAUUGCACUGGCCCAUGGCCUGUGUUCGCAGGACCUUUGGUCUCCCCUUGAAUCUGUACAGAACAAAAGGUGGAUGGAGAAACUUUACAGAAUCACAGGGGAGGGAAGCAGCAUCUUCAGGUUAAAAGGGUCCAUAGUGAUCCUGGGGCAGCAAGGACAAUCAUCAAGGCCUGGACCUGCUUACGUUGCAAAGUUCUAACUUUUGCUGUGUCCAGUGGAAACGUGAAAAGGUCUGCAAUGCAGGCUGCGGUUCCCGCACCAAUAAACUUCACAGCGGCUGUAGGAGGCACAUCACUAGCUCUGAAUCCAACCAUGUUUAAUUGAA
Molecule: long non-coding RNA, 341 nt
Organism: Rhinichthys klamathensis goyatoka
Lineage: Eukaryota; Metazoa; Chordata; Actinopteri; Cypriniformes; Leuciscidae
Exons: 2
Source: RefSeq, a predicted model, not a curated record